Molecule: non-coding RNA, 7307 nt
Organism: Vicugna pacos (alpaca)
Lineage: Eukaryota; Metazoa; Chordata; Mammalia; Artiodactyla; Camelidae
Source: RefSeq, a predicted model, not a curated record
CAGAAACCCAAGGUAGAAGAUGGAAGCUGCUGUGAGAGAAGUGACUGCUACUCAGGCUGCUUGCUCGCCAACCAGCACUGCUUGGGACAAAGAGGACUAAGAGGAAAACACAUCCUCAGACAGAUGUGUCCACUUAAUGAUCUGAAACGUCAAACCACAAUUCAGAGGAAAAGUCUGGCCGGGUACCCUUGUACUGGACGUGUGUUCUUGUACAUCUCCCCAAAACUCCCAGGGGAAGGAGGACUUUCGCAGUGGACCCUUGUCUCACAGAUGAGCUUACAUGCACACUUGGACUUCACAGAAGCACCAGCCUAAACACCAGUACACCUGAGCUAAAAUAAGCACCACUACCAGGAAUAAGGUUCUGGGAGCUUCAGCCUGCACGUAACGAUGCUAAGUAAUGACCCAACACAGGUGUGCGCCUGGAACUUACUCCCCCUCCACUUAGUCCACGAAGGACUCUGAGCAGCUUAUGAAGACACACAGAACACACGAGCACCGCAAACCUUUACAACAGGAGGAGGAAGAGAUGGAUAAAGAAAGAAUGAGGAAACAAAGGAAGAAUCAAAAAUGAGGUUUUAAAGGUGCACACCAAGAGGCCCAAGGCUCUGUGCACAGUCCUGGGUGCGGCUCACAAAGAAUCCACUUAGGGUGGCACCACCUGAGCUGGGCAGCAGGGUGGCCCGUGCCCCACCCCACCGCACCCCUACUUCAGCUUGGCUUGAAUUUUGUAGCAGGGAAGCCUGGUCAGGACUGUGUUUACCAAAACUGUUGUUCGGAAAAGGUACAAUAUUCCUGGCGUGGAGACCAGAUGGGGUUUCUCAUGGGGAGCCUCCUGGCGGUAAACGCAGCGCUGAGUCUCGGGACUGUGUUCCUGGAGGCUGUUAGUGGAGACCAGUGGCGUCUCACCAAAACACAAGUCAGCGUAACAGUUGUGUGGAGACCACGUUGGGAAUUUAAGUUCAACACGCAUUUGGAAAUCACACUUUGCAAACAUUCCGUAAAAUGUUUACUGAGUCAUCUCCAAGUCCCUGUUCCACCACUUACUGAGUGAUCACGCCUUCUCCAUGUGCCCAGAUUUCAACAAGGAAAUCACCUUGGCCACACGGACGACUUGUAUUUCCAAACGCAGACCUCUGACCCUGGUAAUGACUGAUGGGAAGGUACAAGCUCAUGACGGCAGCGUGGUAACUGCAGGCUGGAGGGAGCAAAUCAUUUCCCAACAGAGCACUGUCAGACGUGGAGGGACUCUCCAGUAUCGGCUGUUUAACAUUUACUUACGGAAAGUCUUCAAUGCCACCUGAUACUAAUGUUCCUGCAGCAAAGUGAGGCCACGUUCUAGAUCACGUUCUGAAGACUCUCUCAACUGUGAAACUUCGAAUGUGGAUGUGGGAAAGAACUACAUAACGUCCAACAGUCAGCGUUUAUUCAUUCACAGAACAGGCCAUUUCUGGGGCCGGUGAGAACACAGAUGUUUAAAGAUAUAACUGCUACUUGAGACAACGCAAGUGGCCAGAACACCCCUUGGAAGCUUGGACUUCCGUGAACAAUUUGCCGCACAGCCAGCCGAGGGAAGCAGCUGGAGUUUUCCUGCGUCCCACCAGGACAUGAAGCCUCUCAGCAUCCCGCCUGCACCUGCUGCUCCUCAGAAGUUACCCAUGCCUCUUCCCGCGUGACGCCGGCUGACCCCGGCCCUGGUCUGCGAGACGGCGUUGUGAGCGUCCGCGAGAUGAGCGCUGAAGUGAGAACCGGGCAGGGUGCUCUCCCUUGAUGUGCUCCUGGGAAGAAUUCAAAUCACUUCCCUCGAGAAGGAGGGCAGAUCGAAUCUAAAAUUAGUAAGUGUUCCUGAUGGAAGUCUACGCUAGUUACUGGGAAAUGCAACAGAUUCAAUACAGCAUCUAACCACUUAGGUGGGUGCAGGGCGAUGCUCUUACUCUCACACUGCAGAUGGCUCCUUUCCACUGGCCUCCCUGCUCUCCCCAGGAUGGCUUCCUCCAACCUAGACUUACACAGAGGCCCUGGCUGCCAAGAGCUGGGAUGUUAAGUGACGACACUGAAAGAGUCACUUUGGAAUGGACAACAUACCCCUUUUGCUCCUAAGUUGAGAAUUUUAUUCCCGUAAAGAUGUUUCAUAAAUGAUAUGACAGAUACGACACUGAGAUGACUGCUCUCUCCGACAGGCAGACUUCCUGGUCUUUGCCGCGAGCGGUGAAAGGCCCAGGAGACGGGGACGCCUCCUGCGGCCGGGUCAUCCCGGAGAGGCACGUGCUCUUGGGACUUCUGGUUCCUUGUCCGCAAAAUGAAGGAAUAGUACCAAGCAACCUCUCGGGCCCCCUUGGCUCUAGAAUUCUGAGUCUGUGAAACACUGACCAGAGUACGAGCACGGCUCCUGAUGUGUCCCUUUCAUCCCCUCUAAAAGCUGCCGGGCGGUUCCGACAGUGAGAUCUCAGGCCCUGGUUCCUGACCGCCAGUCUAUCUGGAUCAUGUGAGGAGUUAGACGAAAGCAAAGCACUGGCCGCGAAGGACAGUGAUGGAGGCGGCCAAUCCAAGGGUGUGGGUGUGGAGGGAAGACCAGGCCACCCCAGGCUGCAGGGGAGCGGGGCACAGAAGCCAGUGCCCACGUCACCCACGCCACUGCUGGUGGGGACUCGCCGUCCACAGGUGUCAGUGUGCUACCCACCCCCAUCCCGGGGUAGAGGAUGCAGGCGUGGGAGCCACACAACGGAGGGAAGGGAGCAACAAGCUUUUAGGACACAAAACAAGUAUCUUAUGCUCUGAAACCCACGGAUACACGUAUAUGUUACGUGUGGGCAAAGAACACAACAGACAUGCAGCGAACAGUAGUCGCCGCUGGAAGGGGGGUUGGGGACUCAGGUCCUGGUUUUGGUGGCAAAGUGGGUUCCCUCCACCCCCAGGAGCGCAUACACCAAGGUUCACGACAGGCGGCCUCCUAACAGGGCCGCAUCCUGGGGACACUAGCGGGGAUGGGCUUGGCGACAGAACAGCUGACUGUCUCCCAGUUAAUCUAUCCUGGUCCCCUUCCUGCUUCUGGGGAAACCAGAGAAGGGUGGGCCCGGAGUCCUGGCCACCGGCCUGAGGCUCUCCCUGCCAGGGCAGGCAGUGAUGCGGGCUGGACGUGGGGUGCGAGUUCUGCCCCCUGCCACGCACACAGCUGCACUGCUGGGAUCACAGCGGCACCUGCCUCUGCACGGACACUGCGUCUCCCGUGACUCCCCAGGAAGAGCCGUCACACCUGGCAGGGGCUCAGGGGCUCGGGGGGCGGGGCAGAAGGAGGCAGCACCAAAACUCUGCAGAGCUACAAUGAUGACAGCUGGACACCAGCUGCUGGCUGGCUGGUUCUGCUUGGCUUUGCAUCUAGAGAAACACGUGGAAGCCUCAGGGGAGAUUAUAGAAACACAGGAAGAACUACUUUUAAAAUAGAAACGAGGGGAGGGGACAGCUCAGUGGCAGAGUGCAUGCUUAGUAUGCAUGAGGUCCUGGGUUCAAUCCCCCGUACCUCCAUUAAGAAAAAAAAAUAAUAAAAAUAAUGGAAAAGACCUUUGUGGACACCUAGUUGAGUGGUUUCCAAAGUGGACUGAGGAGCCCGGGGAUUUCACACAGAUGUGAGAACCAAGGCACAGAGCUGUUAUCUAGGAAGCCACUGGAAGAAAGGAUUUUGCAGAUUCUGCAGCUGAAACGAGCUAAAAACACUGACUGCUCCCUCUUUUUAUGGAUGAGGAAACGAAGGGUCAGAGCGGACUGUGAGGAGUGACCUCGCACCCUAUCAGGACAGAGACACAGAAUCAACACCAAAGGUGUGCAACUCACACAUUAUACUUUAUAAAGGACACUGAUGAGGAAAAUAAGGCUUAAUUCAAUCGUCUCACAGGGUUGGCUUUGUACUCAUGUCCUGGUUACGUCGGCUUUGAGUGAAUUCUUCUGAUUCCAUUGUUUAUCUGCUCAAAGUUUUGCAAUCCUUAGAAUAGACAUAAUAAGUGCCUUCUGAUACUCAGCGAUGAUACAGAAGACUGCUUUUUUAAAUGGAAGUGGGGGUGAAAAUAUCAAAGUAUGCCCUCAAGUUGCUAUAUUUUCCUCAAACUUAGGACGUUUCCUCAAACUUCCUAAAAAUUUGGUCCUAAGACAUACUUCAACUUCGAAACUUAAUUAUUUUGUCUAUAUAAACACUGCCACUAAUAAAAUACCAUUUUUUAAUCUGGUAACUUGCCUAAGGGGAAGGUGUUGCAUGAACGAGUUUACAGGUGUGCCCAGCCAAUGAGCAGGCGGUGCAGAAGCCAACUUGGGUCACCUGCAUAGCGUCUGCUCAGACGUUCUCAUCAAGUUAAUGCCACUGACCACAUUUUAUGGCUCAUUUAUAUGAUGUGUUGGUAGCUAUCCUAGGCCUAUCUCUAGAAUUUAGAAAACACAGGUAACUUUUGUGCCUUAUGCUGUGUAAUUCCUGAAACUCCCAAAGCGAUCAAUACAAAGUAUUGACAUAAUACAGUAUCCAACUAAGAAAUUCUUGAACUUUGACUCUCAGGGGCUGAAUCCCUAUUUUGUCCCAUGAGUUUUUUUCUGAAUCAUUUAAAUUAUUUUGACGAGGGGGAAAUACCCCAAAUUUGGAGGCUGGCUGAUCAUACAUUUAAAAUAAACAUUUCUGUCCCAGGAAUAUUAAAGCUGGUCUUCUUUUUUUUUUCCUAUUACUUUAUCCGUAAGUAAUUAGUCUAGAGAUAGCACCUCAUACUUUCAGGUCAUCCACCCUUUUACAGAUGUUCUAGCACUUUGAUAAUAUAAAAUCAAGUUCUUAUUUAUCAGAUAAUUAAAACACAGUUCAAUUAAAUUUUGGAUUAAGUAAGCAUUUAAUUAUGUAAAUCUUUGCUAACCAUAGAAUCGGGUGAAAUGAUCAAUGAAUCAGGUAGAAGAGAGCUCCCUGAACUUUAUAAAAUGAUGCUGUAGUUGUCGAGGCUCAAACUGGAAGACUGAAGAUGACAAUUUUUUUUGGAAGAGUCUCAUUAUGUUUUUAUUAUUCAUCUAGUUUAUUCUAAAAUCUGUAACAGUGGUUCUCAAAGCAGGAUCCACAGAUCCGUGGGGGUCCCAAGACACCUUCAGGAGUUUGGUUAGGUCAGAAUUAACUUUUCAUGAAAAUACUAAGACCUCAUUAUGCUUUCACUGUGUUGACCUCUAAUCUGACUGUGGGAAAGCAAAGGUGGAUAAAACUGCUGGCACCUUAGCAGAGAUCAAGGUGAUAGCACCAAAAGGUCCUGUGGCCAUGGUGCUCCUCACCCUCCCGCACUCGACGUAAAGCCGGUGCCACGCCCACCAAACGGCCUGGAUGGAGGAGGAAGUCUUCCUUGAUGAAGACGUGCUACUCGUAUGAAAUCUCGCCCUUGAGGACACGCUUUGUAGUCUUCUGUGAGACAGGAGGGAGGUGUGCACAAAGGACUUCCGCGCCCACCGAGUACAACUGUUGUCUCGAGGAAGAGCACUGUGCCACUGAGUCCCACGUGAAGUCGCCAAGUUCCUCACAAAUGCCAUCGGUACCCGAAAGGACCUGUGGAGGAACCAUGGGCAACCAGACUUGGCUGUUCGGCAUUUUCUCAAAACACAAAUGACGGGAGUCUGACACUUCAAGGAAAGCAACUGACGUCCUUUGUUGCUGAUGAUAAAACUUGAGCUUUCCAGCAAAACUCAGAAUCUCGGAAUUAUGACAGCAUCCCAGGGGUUAAAGAUAUUUCUGAUGAGACUGACGACACUAUUAACAAAUGGGGCUUUGCUAUUGUUACUGUACAAGGAAGCUGUCGAUACUUGGACAAUCUGCACUGCUCAGGAAACCGGUAUUUUCUAGCUGACCAACACACGGUGCUACAACAUCACGUAAGGUAGGGGACCCGUCCAAGGGCAAGACUGACAGACAACAGGGGAGUGAAAGGUCUUCUGCAGGAUUCAGAGUCUACAUGGUGACUACGUUGAAGACGCGCCCGCUUGUGUUUUGGUGUGGUGUGGAAGGAUAGCCACAGUUACCUUCCAUCCCCCACUUCCCAGUUCCAUGUCUGUGCGAGGCCAGGUUUUCUUCAUAUACUUCGUGCGGGCACAGACUGAACGCAGAACCAGGCUGUGUUCUGUAAGCCAGGUGUUACAGGAACUGGUGAAAAUCCAGGAUAAGUCCACUCUUAUUAGACUUUUUUUGGGGGGAGGGUAAAUUCAGUUAUUUUUCAUAAAAUAUGUUCACAUGGAACGGGGUUUAUUAUUAUUAAUUAAGUUAAUAAUUUAAAACUUCCGUUUUAAAUUCAGUAUAAUAAACUGCGAUAGAUAUAGCCCAUAUAAACUACAGCUCUACAGUUCGGGGCUCUCAAUAAUGUUUAAACAUGUAAAGGGGUCUCGAGACCAAAAAGCUGAAGAACUGCUGGUCUAGAGGCUUUGAACACGCCCAUCUGUUCACCAGGUACGCUCCAUGCUUCCCCUUCACAUGACGCGUUCUCAUACCUGCUCUUCUAUAACUAAGGUAUGUUUCCACAACAACCCUGAUGAGCACAAUGUGAAACUAUUUUCACAGGUUAAUAAUAGAAGCAUUAUCAAUGUUUUUCUUGUUACUGCAUAAUUUCUCCCACAAGUAUCAGUAAUUCUCCUGGGUGGAAGCAAAGGGGAUGGAAACAAGGGGAUCACUCAAGAGGAGAAAUGAGUGGAAUAACUUAGGAUAAAGCUCAAAUAAAUAUGCACCAAAUUUGGGAAAUGUCACUGGGGACCCCACUGACAAGGGCGGACUUAGAUAAGAGAUAAGGGUGGGGCCUUUUCAUUUAAGUGGAAGAAAGGAUGGCCCUCUGUUCCACACCCAGUACUUGUUAUGUUUAAAAACAAGAGAGAGGAGAUACUGCGUGUCCACGAACAAUCACUGGACACUCUGAUGGCCUGCAGUGACGUUGCUGGAGACCUGCCAUGAAACCUGCCACCGCCAGUAACUGACUUCAUUUCACCUGGGACCAGGGCUUCCUGUUUGGCUCAUCCCACCAGUCCAUGCUGACUGUCCCUGAUAAUGCUGGAAGUCCCAUCUCUGCUUUUUCACUGGGUUCCACCCCCACUCCCCGCCCCGCCCCUCCAGCCAGCAUUACCUUUGAUCGACCCCUUAGAGCAGCGAUCACGAAUCAGGGGAGACACUGCCCUACAGGGGACAUAAGGCAAAGCGUGGAGACAUUCCGGGUUGUCACAGUUAGGGAUGGGGGUGGGGGUUGUGCUACAGGUAUCUAGUGGGUAGAUUCCAGAGACGCCACUACAUGUCCUGCAACGCACAGGCAACGUGCAGGACAGCCACUGGC